ACUGAGUUCUAAAAACAUGUAAUGCAAUAGUCAGACGGUAAGGAGGGUUAAAGGACCUCACUCUCCUAGCUUCUGUUUUCUUGUGGUGUAGGGGCAUGGCAGUGGUGGUUAAAAGAUAAACCUCUUUUUUCCCUUAAAUUUUUAAUUGACAUAUAUAUAACAUUUGUACCAAAAGGUGCAUGACAAAUCAUCAGUGUAUAGCUGAGUGAAUUUUCAAAAUGUAACCAGAUCAGGAAAUAGAACAAAACCAGUGUCUCAGAAGCCCUUCUAUACACCUGCUCCUCGUAGUCCUUUGCUCUCACUGUAACUAUUAUCCUGGCUUCUAACACUAGAUUCGUUUUGAUCCCCACAUACACACCACACACACACACAGCCUCUCCAUGUGUGUGUAUGUGUGUGUGUGUGUUGGCUAGUCUUCAGCAGGAUUUUGAUUGUAAAUCCCUGUAUAAUUAGUGAGUCUAAGAAAAUUACUGAUUUAUCUAGGGGACUUUUUAACAAUAACUAUCAC
This is a long non-coding RNA of Pipistrellus kuhlii (Kuhl's pipistrelle), 508 nucleotides long. RefSeq lists it as uncharacterized. NCBI's taxonomy places the organism in Eukaryota, Metazoa, Chordata, Mammalia, Chiroptera, Vespertilionidae. The transcript has 2 exons. The record is from RefSeq and is a predicted model, not a curated record.